Molecule: ribosomal RNA, 467 nt
Filed under: uncultured bacterium
Lineage: Bacteria
Description: bacterial SSU rRNA
Rfam family: Bacterial small subunit ribosomal RNA
Source: RNAcentral
AGAGUUUGAUCCUGGCUCAGGAUGAACGCUAGCGGCAGGCCUAAUACAUGCAAGUCGAGCGGCAAGUCGAGGAGUAAUCUAAGACCUAGAGCGGCGCACGGGUGCGUAACGCGUAUGCAACCUACCUUAUACUGAGGGAUAGCCCGGAGAAAUCUGGAUUAAUACCUCAUGGCACAUAUUGAGGGCAUCUGAGAUAUGUUAAAGAUUUAUUGGUAUAAGAUGGGCAUGCGUCUGAUUAGCUAGUUGGCGGUGUAACGGACCACCAAGGCGACGAUCAGUAGGGGUUCUGAGAGGAAGGUCCCCCACACUGGCACUGAGAUACGGGCCAGACUCCUACGGGAGGCAGCAGUAGGGAAUAUUGGGCAAUGGUCGGAAGACUGACCCAGCCAUGCCGCGUGCAGGAAGACGGCCCUCUGGGUUGUAAACUGCUUUUAUCUGGGAAGAAAAAGGCCAUGCGUGGCAAAUUG